RNAcentral lists this transfer RNA (90 nucleotides) under Chloroflexota bacterium. RNAcentral's name for it is "tRNA-Arg". It matches the Rfam family "tRNA". Rfam says of the family: Transfer RNA (tRNA) molecules are approximately 80 nucleotides in length. Their secondary structure includes four short double-helical elements and three loops (D, anti-codon, and T loops). Lineage: Bacteria; Bacillati; Chloroflexota. The record is from RNAcentral.
GGGGAGGUGGCUGAGUGGUUGAAAGCACCCGUCUUCUAAACGGGCGUGGACUCAGGUCUACCGUGGGUUCGAAUCCCACCCUCCCCGCCA